UUAUGUGUUAAAAAUAAAAUAAAUAUAAAAUUAUCCUUUAAAAAAAAUUCCAGCAACUUUAUAAAAGUCUAUCGUUUAGUUAUGGUAGAUUUAUUCUUAUUCUACAGACUUUUUUAACUGCGACAGAUUUUUUUAUGGCAGACCUUUUUGGUUGACAGACUUCUUAGAAGAUAGUGAUAACAGAUUUAUAAAUUAUAGCAGAUUUAAUUUGAUUGACAUAU
This 221-nucleotide small RNA is filed under the name Arabidopsis thaliana (thale cress). RNAcentral's name for it is "ATSL082700". The record is from RNAcentral. Lineage: Eukaryota; Viridiplantae; Streptophyta; Magnoliopsida; Brassicales; Brassicaceae.